ACAAUAUUAGCAUUUUAGCACAGUUUUAAAGACUAGCAGAGAAAGGAUGCAGUUGGACAAGGUCUAGAACUUUGAGAGCUGCAACAAUGGCUACGCAGAGCAACACCCAGUAAUCAAAAGAAAAUACUGGAAAAAGAUUAAAACUCAGAGAGACAAGACUUAAAAACCAGGAGAACGGAAAAGAUGACUGAAGAGGCUUACUAGGAGCUGAGGUGAGGUUGAGACACCUGGAGACCCUCAUGAAAUAAUGACAUUAGUAGAAAGCAGUAUAGGGUAUUUUCUGUUCAGAAAGAAAAAACCAAAAAUACACUGAGAAUUAAUUGUGAAGUGACUGCUAAAACAGGAGAGGACAAAACCCAAGCACCAAGCUUUUACAACGAUCUCCUAAUACCAGCAAUCAAAUACCUGGCUACAUUUCAGCUCCAACAAUUGCAGCUGCAGUCCCACCUCAGCAUAAGUGAGAAAUACAAGCAAGUAAGUGCCAACUGGGUUUCAGUCUCAAAUACUUCAGUAUCUUCUACCCUGAAGGACAUUUUGAACUGCAGUGGUGGUAAAAGCCUUCCUGUAUGAACUCCUUAAAGCUCCUUUACAACAACCCAUUUACUGAGGAAACAGAGAAGUGUCUGUAUUUUAGCAAAACAACCUGUUUUCCAAGUUCUAAAAAUAGAAAAGAAAAAAAAUAUUAAAACUGUCUGUCAUUUUGAAAGCACUCACAAGCAUUUCAUCCUAAGCAACACAGCCUCCCCCCUUGCUAAAAAUAAAACAGUACAUUACAGCAACAUUUUUUGCUGGCUUCAGCCAAGGACUUGAAAACCUCCCCUCAGCCCAGACAGGCAGUAAGCUGUGAGUCAGCACUUCUCAGCAUUUCUGGAAAUUCCUCAGCAGAGCAUCCACCCUGUAGCAGGAAGCUGCCUGUUCACUUAAGCUGGUACCAGGAAACAGACGGGUGGUCAUGGACCUCACCUGAGGUGGGGACACAGCUCAAGAAAAUUUCACCAAAACUACCAAACAUUCCCCAUCCCACCAGCUUCCCACACCACCACCGAGUACACUGCCUGGGAAUAAAUUCAGUACCUCCUCAGCUGGCACCCAACUACAACUAUGUGCAGUUUCAAAGAACAGGAAAUAUAAGAUUUAACUUAAAAAAAAAAUUAACAUUGGACAAAGGCACUAACAAGUUUCUCUGGUGCAAUUUUAAUGGUAUGGGCUCUCCCAGAACAUAGAGGCAGCUCCACUCCAACAGCCACAGGCAGGAUCUGUCUCCUGCCCAAAGAAGUCUGUAUUAAUUCAAAACAGUCAUGCCCCUCUAGGUAAAGAGGGGGUUCUCCCAUGCUUACAGAGAAAGUGAUUCUUUCCACUCUCAAGAGGAUGAAGAAGUCAUGGGUUGCUAAUUGAAAGGACACAUGAACACAGCUCCAUCUCUCCCUCCAACAGUCCUUGCUUCCCACAGAAAAUCUUACAAGUCACAUACAACACUGUCACAAUGGGAGACAGAUCCCAUGCCUGUGUGGGGGACGGCCCAAAUCUGCCUCUGCCUGUACAGGCUAUGGUGGUGCUGAGUAUCUCAUCCCCACGGAGGCACAAACCAGAAUCAUAGAAUCAUCUGGGUUGGAAAGGACCUCUGAGAUCAUCAAGUCCAACCCUUGAAGUCCCCAUAGAAGCUCCUGGUGCUCAAUAGUCUUAAAUGUGUGCAACCACCAAGGUGGAGAUACUGCUCUUGAAAUGGAGAUAUAACAUGCUCUCGGGUCCAUGUAAGGAUAUAAAGCAGCUAUUUCACAAGUACUGCCUGUGGUGAAUGCAAUUCCUACAUUACUGGCCUUGGACUGAGCAUCCACUCUUGUUUUGCUUUAAACACAUGCUCUGACAGGGACAUUAAAGAGGGAGAGUUAAGGGAAUAGGAAGUACUUUGUGAACAUCAGUAAUUGCAUGUUCUGACCUCUCCAGCUUACAUCAUAUGUGUUAUCCAACAACCACAAAUCAAGAAGGAAACCCAAUUUAAGGACAUUAAUUUUCAGCACAACACGUAUGUUAAAACUAACAGAACAAGACAAAUGUUGACGUUUUCCCGCUUGUUUCUUGCUUUAAUAUAUGUGGCUCUUCUCCCAGAAAGAUCUUGUCUUUUUUUUUUUUUUAAUGAAUAUUUGUAUAAAGGAAGCUGCCUAAAGUUGGGUAAAAAAAAAUGUUUUUCUCGACUGUUUUUAAAUACGGAGCAAUGAGAUUAAAGCGAGGCAGACAGCCAAAUACCUCAGCCAUCACAGUCAUUAAUAAACGCGUUUAACAUUCGUGCAGCUUUCGAAUGUAGAACAUCUGGUUCCAAUUCCCAAUCUGGCUUUUAAUAAAAGUGCCUCCCCCACAAUACUUUUAUUAUAAAGUGUUCUUUUCCUCCAUGGG
Molecule: long non-coding RNA, 2391 nt
Organism: Corapipo altera (White-ruffed manakin)
Lineage: Eukaryota; Metazoa; Chordata; Aves; Passeriformes; Pipridae
Exons: 3
Source: RefSeq, a predicted model, not a curated record